RNAcentral lists this ribosomal RNA (386 nucleotides) under uncultured bacterium. Its description in RNAcentral is "bacterial SSU rRNA". It matches the Rfam family "Bacterial small subunit ribosomal RNA", at positions 28 to 416 of the family's 1533-position model. The record is from RNAcentral.
GACGAACGCUGGCGGCGUGCUUAACACAUGCAAGUCGAGCGGUAAGGCCCUUUCGGGGGUACACGAGCGGCGAACGGGUGAGUAACACGUGGGUGACCUGCCUUUAGCUCUGGGAUAAGCCUGGGAAACUGGGUCUAAUACCGGAUACGACUCCGCGGUGCAUGCUGUGGGGUGGAAAGCCUUGUGCGGCUGGAGAUGGGCCCGCGGCCUAUCAGCUUGUUGGUGGGGUGAUGGCCUACCAAGGCGACGACGGUAGCCGGCCUGAGAGGGCGACCGGCCACACUGGGACUGAGACACGGCCCAGACUCCUACGGGAGGCAGCAGUGGGGAAUCUUGCGCAAUGGGCGAAAGCCUGACGCAGCGACGCCGCGUGAGGGAUGACGGCC